GUGCUUGCUUUGGCAGCACAUAUACUAAAACUGGAACGAUUCAGAGAAAAUUAGCAUGGCCACUGCACAAGGAAGACAUGCAAUUUCAUGAAGCGUUCCAUAUUUAA
Small nuclear RNA from Suncus etruscus (white-toothed pygmy shrew), 107 nucleotides. NCBI's taxonomy places the organism in Eukaryota, Metazoa, Chordata, Mammalia, Eulipotyphla, Soricidae. The record is from RefSeq and is a predicted model, not a curated record.